RNAcentral lists this ribosomal RNA (440 nucleotides) under uncultured bacterium. RNAcentral's name for it is "bacterial SSU rRNA". It matches the Rfam family "Bacterial small subunit ribosomal RNA", at positions 958 to 1398 of the family's 1533-position model. The record is from RNAcentral.
AACGCGAAGAACCUUACCUGGGCUUGAACCGCACAGGACCCUCCUUAGAAAUAGGGACUUCCCGCAAGGGACCUGUGUAGAGGUGCUGCAUGGCUGUCGUCAGCUCGUGCCGUGAGGUGUUGGGUUAAGUCCCGCAACGAGCGCAACCCUUACUCGUAGUUGCCACCCGCAAGGGGGAACUCUACGAGGACUGCUCCGGAUAACGGAGAGGAAGGUGGGGAUGAGGUCAAGUCAGCAUGGCCUUUAUGUCCAGGGCUACACACGUGUUACAAUGGCCGGUACAGAGGGCAGCAAAACCGAGAGGUGGAGCAAAUCCUAAAAGCCGGCCCCAGUUCAGAUUGGAGUCUGCAACUCGACUCCAUGAAGAUGGAAUUGCUAGUAAUGGCGAGUCAGCAACAUCGCCGUGAAUACGUUCCCGGGCCUUGUACACACCGCGCAUA